CCUUAUUAUCCUGGAUAGGCAAAAUAGGCACAAAUAGUCACCUGAUGAUUGGUAUUUUUAUCAAAGUGAACUGGAUUUAUUGAGAUCAGGUUUGCAAAGAACCCUAGAAUAAAAGCUAAAGCACAGAGUAAAGUGUUUAAUACAGUUACAUGUCUUUUGUGUAAUAUCCUAACAUCAGGAGAUUUUCUGAUCUUCAAGAAGAAGUUCCAAGGUUCAUUUUAAGGAGUAUCUUGAUGACAUAUUGCCUGUCCUAUUUGUCUGUGUAGAUACGUUCUCUCUCUCGGGGAGAAGGAUCGCAGGGUCAUUUGAGCCGAACACUCUCAGCUCAGAAUAAUAAACUGGAGGAAGAGGGCCCUCAGGGUAGCCAAAAAAAAAAAAACAGCUCUGCGUUAUGGAUGAGUCGUGAAUGCAUGAAGAAGUGUGCAUGACGGAUGUUAGGUACAAGAGUGAAAGGGCGAGCAAAGUUCAGCAAGGUAAUGCACAAACUUUUUAUGUCUUCAUGUAUGUAAUAAUGGCUGAAGAUAUAAAGAAUCUGUGUGCAUUAGGGUUCAAGGGUGUCUUUUUCUCCAACAGGAAAUGUCUUGCUCUUAACAAAACCACAGUUUACACUGGACUAAGCACAAAUGAAAAAAGAAACGGCAGAGAAAGAGGGAGAGCGAAUGAGGGAUUAUGGCAAAAAUAUUUUGUCAAUAGCCGACAGGCCCACAUACCGCAAGGAAUGAUUGCCCUGGAGUGGCCCAG
This is a long non-coding RNA of Cyprinus carpio carpio, 741 nucleotides long. The record is from Ensembl. NCBI's taxonomy places the organism in Eukaryota, Metazoa, Chordata, Actinopteri, Cypriniformes, Cyprinidae.